Molecule: small nucleolar RNA, 76 nt
Organism: Hyla sarda
Lineage: Eukaryota; Metazoa; Chordata; Amphibia; Anura; Hylidae
Source: RefSeq, a predicted model, not a curated record
CUGGUAACAUGAUGAUUGAACAAAUCACCAUCUUUCGGCUGAUAUGUGAUGUAAAUGUUCUUCCUGACUUAUCCAG